This 451-nucleotide ribosomal RNA is filed under the name uncultured bacterium. Its description in RNAcentral is "partial 16S ribosomal RNA". It matches the Rfam family "Bacterial small subunit ribosomal RNA", at positions 354 to 796 of the family's 1533-position model. The record is from RNAcentral.
GUGGGGAAUAUUGGACAAUGGGGGGAACCCUGAUCCAGCCAUGCCGCGUGUGUGAAGAAGGCCUUUUGGUUGUAAAGCACUUUAAGCGAGGAGGAGGCUACCGAGAUUAAUACUCUUGGAUAGUGGACGUUACUCGCAGAAUAAGCACCGGCUAACUCUGUGCCAGCAGCCGCGGUAAUACAGAGGGUGCAAGCGUUAAUCGGAUUUACUGGGCGUAAAGCGCGCGUAGGUGGCCAAUUAAGUCAAAUGUGAAAUCCCCGAGCUUAACUUGGGAAUUGCAUUCGAUACUGGGUGGCUAGAGUAUGGGAGAGGAUGGUAGAAUUCCAGGUGUAGCGGUGAAAUGCGUAGAGAUCUGGAGGAAUACCGAUGGCGAAGGCAGCCAUCUGGCCUAAUACUGACACUGAGGUGCGAAAGCAUGGGGAGCAAACAGGAUUAGAUACCCGGGUAGUCC